CCUACGGGCGGCAGCAGUGAGGAAUAUUGGUCAAUGGGCGCGAGCCUGAACCAGCCAAGUCGCGUGAGGGAGGACGGCCCUACGGGUUGUCAACCUCUUUUGCCGGGGAGCAAAGGGCGCCACGUGUGGCGUCACUGAGAGUACCCGGAGAAAAAGCAUCGGCUAACUCCGUGCCAGCAUUCGCGUUAAUACGGAGGAUGCGAGCGUUAUCCGGAUUUAUUGGGUUUAAAGGGUGCGUAGGCGGAUGGUUAAGUCAGUGGUAAAAUUGAGGGGCCAAACCCCUUCCCGCCAUUGAAACUGGAGUUCUUGAGUGGAAGAGAAGUAUGCGGAAUGCGUGGUGUAGCGGUGAAAUGCAUAGAUAGCACGCAGAACCCCGAUUGCGAAGGCAGCAUGCCGGCUUCCGACUGACGCUGAAGCACGAAAGCGUGGGGAUCGAACAGGAUUAGAUACCCUUGUAGUC
RNAcentral lists this ribosomal RNA (460 nucleotides) under uncultured bacterium. RNAcentral's name for it is "partial 16S ribosomal RNA". It matches the Rfam family "Bacterial small subunit ribosomal RNA", at positions 338 to 795 of the family's 1533-position model. The record is from RNAcentral.